RNAcentral lists this ribosomal RNA (460 nucleotides) under uncultured bacterium. RNAcentral's name for it is "partial 16S ribosomal RNA". It matches the Rfam family "Bacterial small subunit ribosomal RNA", at positions 338 to 795 of the family's 1533-position model. The record is from RNAcentral.
CCUACGGGAGGCUGCAGUGAGGAAUAUUGGUCAAUGGGCGCGAGCCUGAACCAGCCAAGCCGCGUGAAGGAUGACUGCACUACGGGUUGUAAACUUCUUUUAUAAGGGAAUAAAGUGAGGCACGCGUGCCUGUUUGUAUGUACUUGAUGAAUAAGGAUCGGCUAACUCCGUGCCAGCAGCCGCGGUAAUACGGAGGAUCCGAGCGUUAUCCGGAUUUAUUGGGUUUAAAGGGUGCGUAGGUGGGUUGUUAAGUCAGUUGUGAAAGUGUGCGGCUCAACCGUAGAAUUGCAGUUGAUACUGGCAGUCUGGAGUACAGUAGAGGUAGGCGGAAUGCGUGGUGUAGCGGUGAAAUGCUUAGAUAUCACGAAGAACUCCGAUUGCGAAGGCAGCUUACUAGACUGCCACUGACAUUGAGGCACGAAAGUGUGGGUAUCGAACAGGAUUAGAUACCCUUGUAGUC